CGGUGGAUGAUGUGGAUUAAUUCGAUGCAACGCGAAAACCUUACCUACCCUUGACAUGUCUGGAACCUUGCUGAGAGGCGAGGGUGCCUUCGGGAGCCCAGAACACAGGUGCUGCAUGGCUGUCGUCAGCUCGUGUCGUGAGAUGUUGGGUUAAGUCCCGCAACGAGCGCAACCCUUGUCAUUAGUUGCCAUCAUUUAGUUGGGCACUCUAAUGAGACUGCCGGUGACAAACCGGAGGAAGGCGGGGAUGACGUCAAGUCAGCAUGGCCUUUAUAUCCUGGGCUACACACACGCUACAAUGGUCUGUACAAUAGGUUGCCAAGCCGCGAGGCGGAGCCAAUCCUUAAAGCAGGCCUCAGUUCAGAUUGUAGGCUGCAACUCGCCUGCAUGAAGAUGGAGUUGCUAGUAACCGCAGGUCAGCUAUACUGCGGUGAAUACGUUCCCGGGUCUU
RNAcentral lists this ribosomal RNA (451 nucleotides) under uncultured Zoogloea sp. Its description in RNAcentral is "bacterial SSU rRNA". It matches the Rfam family "Bacterial small subunit ribosomal RNA", at positions 930 to 1382 of the family's 1533-position model. The record is from RNAcentral. Lineage: Bacteria; Pseudomonadati; Pseudomonadota; Betaproteobacteria; Rhodocyclales; Zoogloeaceae.